GGAGUCAGCCAAGAGGUUCCUCCGAGGGUCUCUGUCGUACUGUUGCCAGCCGGAAACGUACAUAGAUACUCACACACACACACACACACACACACACACACACACACACACACACACACACACGAAGAUUUAUGUCCAUAUGUACGCGUUUUAAAGUUUGUACGGUGAAAGCGAAACACACACACACACACACACACACACACACACACACACACACACAAGGACAGGUAUUAGAUUAAAGAUGACAAACAAACAAGUAAAUCAGAAGACAGACCCAGUACGCACCAUAAUAAUAAGAAUCAGUUGUUUUUUUCCUAACAUUUUCUUUUUCCCUUUUCUCUAAUAAUGACAAAUUUUAUUCAAUGUGUGCUGACAUAUACUAUAAUAGCUCUGGUUGUUUUUCUUUAUAUACUAAUUACAAUACGUGGUCUGCAGUCUUCUUUUUACUAACGUGUGUGUGUGUGUGUGUGUGUGUGUGUGUGUGUGUGUGUGUGUGUGU
Molecule: long non-coding RNA, 499 nt
Organism: Portunus trituberculatus (swimming crab)
Lineage: Eukaryota; Metazoa; Arthropoda; Malacostraca; Decapoda; Portunidae
Exons: 2
Source: RefSeq, a predicted model, not a curated record